This 59-nucleotide transfer RNA is filed under the name Enterococcus faecium. RNAcentral's name for it is "tRNA-Met". It matches the Rfam family "tRNA", at positions 8 to 62 of the family's 71-position model. Rfam says of the family: Transfer RNA (tRNA) molecules are approximately 80 nucleotides in length. Their secondary structure includes four short double-helical elements and three loops (D, anti-codon, and T loops). Further hydrogen bonds mediate the characteristic L-shaped molecular structure. tRNAs have two regions of fundamental functional importance: the anti-codon, which is responsible for specific mRNA codon recognition, and the 3' end, to which the tRNAs corresponding amino acid is attached (by aminoacyl-tRNA synthetases). tRNAs cope with the degeneracy of the genetic code in two manners: having more than one tRNA (with a specific anti-codon) for a particular amino acid; and 'wobble' base-pairing, i.e. permitting non-standard base-pairing at the 3rd anti-codon position. The record is from RNAcentral. Lineage: Bacteria; Bacillati; Bacillota; Bacilli; Lactobacillales; Enterococcaceae.
UUAGCUUAGUUGGUCAGAGCAGACGGCUCAUAACCGUCCGGUCGUAGGUUCGAGUCCUA